Salmo trutta (river trout) is the source of this 1734-nucleotide long non-coding RNA. The record is from Ensembl. Lineage: Eukaryota; Metazoa; Chordata; Actinopteri; Salmoniformes; Salmonidae.
CUACAAGUAUGUUUGCGUCCAGGGCCACCCCUAGCCACUAAGAGACAUAAGUGGCCACUAGGGGCCCCCAAACCACACAAACAAACUCAGGCAGGGUCUCAACUAACUGUUGAGAGUUAGAAUAGUAGAAUAAUCUCUUGUCAUGUCAGUCACAAUUUUUGAGAUUGGUAAAUUAGUCUAGCCAGCAAUCUAAACUUUUAGUAAUCAUGGCCGAAUUGCCGACCAGGCACGCAGGGCACAUGCCCAGGGACCCUGAACUCCAGUGUGCCCCCAUUGAUUGUAUUAGUCACUCUCACUCAGAUAUCAUAUUAUAUUAACAUGGCAUGAGUCAUGGCAAAAUGUGUAGAAUUGCAGGAAAUUAGCUUUAAAACUUCACAUUUUUAUCUCUGCAAAAUAAGUAGAAUUCCAUGAAAUUAAUUAUAAAAUUGCAAAAGGUUCUCUCCGGUCCAUGCAAAAUGUGUAGUAUUGCAGUAAAUUAACUUUAAAAUAUACUUUUUUUCUCUCUGCUGUCAAGAGGAGGACCACUAAAAUGUUUUGCCCGCAAGGUGGGGGGCCCCCCAACCAAAUCUCGCUUAGGGCCCACAAAAGGCUAGGGCCAGCCCUCUUUGCGUCCACCACCUCAUUCACAUCUCACACAACAAGCCCAAUAGGAUCUCAACUAAAUCUAUCUGAAUUAAUAACAAUUUUUUUACUAUCUCCCUCUUUAUUACAGUGAACUGAAAUGGUAAGAGGCUAAGAAUGUUCAGGUGUUCCAAAAAAAACAAUCCAUGACUGUGAGAGCACUAUUUGUCCUCUUGCUCUGUCUGUGGCAGGUGCUCUGCAGGUCAUCUCCAUUGGAUGGAAAGUGUAGGGCAGUAGAGUGUUUCAGUCUUGAGGAUGAUGAGUGUUAACGGGCUCCACAAGAUCACAAAGUGGUGCGCAUAAGCCUAGUGACUCGCUGGUACAGCUGCUGGACAACUGUCAUGAGAUUCCUAAAAUGGUAUGUCAAAAGAGCACAAAAGACAUGAUCAGUGUGUGGUGCCAAACACAGCAAACUGUUCAAGUCCAAACGAUUCUCAACUUCAGCGUUCAACUUCAAAGUUCAAGCCCAAGACAGGAGGUACUGUAGUCUAUUCAAAGAAUAACAACACCUUCAAGAAGUUUCUAGCCGGGGCAUGGGGGGGUUGAGAACCCGUAGGUGAGGAGUGGGCAGUGCUAGGUGUAAACGGGGAGAAUUCCUACUGGUACAGGGGCAGUGGGCACAAUUACUGCUGACCAACAGAAGUUUUGAAUGGCACUGAAAGGUCUAGUAGGGAUGAAUAACAUUCCCACAUUGUAUCUCUGUGGGAGCCAGAGGUUUUUCCCCCCUCUGUGAUAAAAAGAGGAUCUUUGCUCUACAUGAAAAGAUCACUGUGUACUUGAUGUGAACCUGGUGAUACUGUUUAGACUGACCUGGUUGGGUUGUUGUGGCUGAGGGUGUGAGAGAGGAGGGAGUUGAGAAAUAGUUACAGAAAGAGAGAGAAGAGAGACAUGUACAGUUGAAGUCAGAAGUUUACAUACACCUUUGCCAAAUACAUUUAAACUCAGUUUUUCACAAUUCCUGACAUUUAAUCAGAGUAAAAAUUCUCUGUCUUAGGUCAGUUAGGAUCACUACUUUAUUUUUUAAGAAUGUGAAAUGUCAGAAUAAUAGUAAAGAGAAUGAUUUAUUUCAGCUUUUAUUUCUUUCAUCACAUUCCCAUUGGGUCAGAAGUUUAC